Molecule: ribosomal RNA, 404 nt
Filed under: uncultured bacterium
Lineage: Bacteria
Description: bacterial SSU rRNA
Rfam family: Bacterial small subunit ribosomal RNA
Source: RNAcentral
AACGAACGUUAGCGGCGCGCCUAACACAUGCAAGUCGAGCGAGAAGGGGGCAACCCCUGUAAAGCGGCGCACGGGUGAGUAACACGUAGGUAAUCUACCUCGAGGUGGUGGAUAACCUUCCGAAAGGAGGGCUAAUACAGCAUGGGACCACGUCUUCGAAAGAGGAUGAGGUAAAAGCGGGCCUCUAUACAUAAGCUCGCGCCACGAGAUGAGCCUGCGGCCCAUCAUGGUAGUUGGUAGGGUAACGGCCUACCAAGCCGAAGACGGGUAGCUGGUCUGAGAGGAUGAUCAGCCACACUGGAACUGAGACACGGUCCAGACUCCUACGGGAGGCAGCAGUGGGGAAUCUUGCGCAAUGGGCGAAAGCCUGAUCCAGCCAUGCCGCGUGAGUGAAGAAGGCCUGG